UACGGAGGGUCCGAGCGUUAAUCGGAAUUACUGGGCGUAAAGCGCAUGCAGGCGGUCUGUUAAGCCAGAUGUGAAAGCCCGGGGCUCAACCCCGGAAUAGCAUUUGGAACUGGCAGACUAGAGUUUUGUAGAGGGGGGUAGAAUUUCAGGUGUAGCGGUGAAAUGCGUAGAGAUCUGAAGGAAUACCAGUGGCGAAGGCGGCCCCCUGGACAAAAACUGACGCUCAGAUGCGAAAGCGUGGGUAGCAAACAGG
This 253-nucleotide ribosomal RNA is filed under the name uncultured bacterium. RNAcentral's name for it is "partial 16S ribosomal RNA". It matches the Rfam family "Bacterial small subunit ribosomal RNA", at positions 524 to 776 of the family's 1533-position model. The record is from RNAcentral.